This 468-nucleotide ribosomal RNA is filed under the name uncultured bacterium. Its description in RNAcentral is "partial 16S ribosomal RNA". It matches the Rfam family "Bacterial small subunit ribosomal RNA", at positions 28 to 507 of the family's 1533-position model. The record is from RNAcentral.
GACGAACGCUGGCGGCGUGCUUAACACAUGCAAGUCGAACGGAAAGGCCCGGCUUUUGUGGGGUGCUCGAGUGGCGAACGGGUGAGUAACACGUGAGUAACCUGCCCUUGACUUUGGGAUAACUUCAGGAAACUGGGGCUAAUACCGGAUAGGAGCUCCUGCUGCAUGGUGGGGGUUGGAAAGUUUCGGCGGUUGGGGAUGGACUCGCGGCUUAUCAGCUUGUUGGUGGGGUAGUGGCUUACCAAGGCUUUGACGGGUAGCCGGCCUGAGAGGGUGACCGGCCACAUUGGGCCUGAGAUACGGCCCAGACUCCUACGGGAGGCAGCAGUGGAGAAUAUUGCACAAUGGGCGGAAGCCUGAUGCAGCAACGCCGCGUGCGGGAUGACGGCCUUCGGGUUGUAAACCGCUUUCGCCUGUGACGAAGCGUGAGUGACGGUAAUGGGUAAAGAAGCACCGGCUAACUACGUG